Non-coding RNA from Anas platyrhynchos (mallard), 2004 nucleotides. The record is from RefSeq and is a predicted model, not a curated record. NCBI's taxonomy places the organism in Eukaryota, Metazoa, Chordata, Aves, Anseriformes, Anatidae.
CCGGCUGUAUGCGUUUUGCUUUUACUUUGGCUGAAGUUUAUUACUUGUCAGCGGAGCUGGCGUUUGUUGCCGUGUUUGCAACCUGGGGUUGUGUGUACAGAUCUAAUAAGGGAGAAAUGAUUUCAUUGUUCAGGUAGAACAAAAGCUCUGAGCCCCUUUGAGGGAUGAAAAUUCCGGGUUAAGCUUUGCUGGGUUCUGUAAAAAAAAUCCUUCCUGGUGAUCGCAAGGGCUGCACGGACGCUUCCAGUGCUGAGCCACAGCACCUGGCUGCCAGAAUCCUGCAAGAGAAGAGGGAGAAACCCGAGUGGUGUCACUUUGGGGAGUGUGUGAGCCCCUUGAAAUCUUCACGCCAAGCGUGGCUGGGUUUCCCUCUUCAGCUCCUGGCAGCUAGAGAGAGCAGCCUGCAUGUUUUAGCAGGCUUAUUAUUCCAUGUCAUUAUGAGUGCUGUAAGUAGCUCUUUGUGUCACGGUAGCCACAUUCCUUGCCCACAGCGUGCCUUGCCUGCUCUGUUGAAGCAGGAUAUUCCCCGGCUGAUUAACAAGAAGAGAAUUUCGUGCCAUGCCCUGCUCUCCCAGGUGCCGUCGGGCGGCGAGAAAGCUCUUUUUGCAGUUCAGCUGUUGAACCAUGCCUGUGAGGUUGUGCUUAAGGAAGGUGAGGAUUUCUUCUCCGAAGUGCAAGAUGGACAUUGGAGAUGGACUUGUUCCCGGUAUCGCUUCUUCAGAGGUCUAGAAGAAAACUCAAUUUAUUCCUGGAUUUAAGCAAGAGGCAGAAGCUGACCCUGCAGUUUGUGCUGUGCUGCUGCUCACUCCUCCAGCGUCCCCCAAAGCUGCCCAAUGGCAGCACCCCAGGAGCUAGGGUUUGACUGCCCCACUGGACAAGUGCUGAGAGGUGAGGUGGGAUGCAGGGGACGGGUGGUUUGGUUGGGCUCGGUGGCAGGAGGGUCCCCAGGUGACAGCAGGGGGACACGCUGCAGCUCCCUGGCUGCUGGUGCUCGUGGGCCAGCGGUGGCACCGCUCCGUGCCUCAGUUUCCCUGCCUGUGUCAAAGGAGCUCGGUUCUGGCCCUUCGCAGGGGAAAACAUCCUUGGUUCGUGGUGGAUGAGGUGUGACUGCUGGGUGGGAAAAGCCCUGCGGUGCCAGGAGAUGGCACCAUCCUCCCAGCAACCCGCUGCAUGCGCCCAGAUCGAGGGGAGACCCCAGGCUGGGCCUGUCCUGGUCCUGUGCCCUGCGUGGCUCCUGGCCUAAAAUAAAAUAAAAUAAUAAAAUAUCUCAAAACCUCUCCCUCCUGCUAAACCUUAUCCUGGGCUGGCAUCCGAGGGACUUUGCAGGAGGCCAGAGCAUUCAGGGUAGCUGGGGCGAGCAGGUCACCCCCGAGGCCACGCUUGGUUCCCUUUUCAGUGAAAAAGGACUAAUAAAAGUGGAAUCGAAGACCUUUGGGAAGUGGCCUUUUGUGCUCUGCCAGCCACCACGGCUCAUCUGGCGGCAGUUUUCAGAGGAGCAGCCCCAGCUGGGGGAAUCUGAGCAGCCUGCCAGGUCCUCUUCUGUCUUUUAAUUUCUGGUUUUAGGGGCGUAACGGUGUUUGGUGGAGAAAAUAGGAGAGAAAUGAGAAUUGUGCAAGGUAGAGCUGAGGGAGGUGAUCUCUGUGGCUCAGCCCGGAUCCCCCUGGGGCCCAUGGGAAGGAAUUGGGUGCUGUUUGCUGUCCCCCAGUCCCUGUCCCACCUGCCCUGGCAUUUCAGCAUCACUUCAAUGUCGGCAAUGAGGUAUGGCACAAGCAGCCCACGUAGCAGCGAGCCCAGCAGGCAAAUCCCCAUCCCAAGAGCAUUUGUGGGAUGCGAUGCAUGGCCCUUAUCUAAAACAUUCCCAAUGAUCCGUGUCUCACUCCAAAUGACCCGUGCUUUUUAAUGGGACAUCAUUUCUAGACACUUCAUUAGUGGCACAACAUUGGAUUGAGGCAAACCUUCCACUGACCAAGGGAGCCUGUGGUCAAGGAGGGUUUUUUUUCCUCC